AUUGAGCGCUGGCGGCAUGCUUUACACAUGCAGGUCGAACGGUAACAGGUCUUCGGAUGCUGACGAGUGGCGAACGGGUGAGUAAUGCAUCGGAAAGUGCCCAGUCGUGGGGGAUAACGCAGCGAAAGCUGCGCUAAUACAGCAUACGAUCUAUGGAUGAAAGCGGGGGACCGUAAGGCCUCGCGCGAUUGGAGCGGCCGAUGUCAGAUUAGGUAGUCGGUGGGGUAAAGGCCCACCAAGCCAACGAUCUGUAGCUGGUCUGAGAAGAAGACCAGCCACACUGGCACUGAGACACGGCCCAGACUCCUACGGGAGGCAGCAGUGGGGAAUUUUGGACAAUGGGCGCAAGCCGGAUCCAGCAAUGCCGCGUGCAGGGAGAAGGCCUUCGGGUUGUAAACUGCUUUUGUACGGAACGAAACGGCUCUCUCUAAUACAGAGGGCUAAUGACGGUACCGUAAGAAUAAGCACCGGCUAACUACGUGCCAGCCGCCGCAGUAA
This 498-nucleotide ribosomal RNA is filed under the name uncultured bacterium. RNAcentral's name for it is "partial 16S ribosomal RNA". It matches the Rfam family "Bacterial small subunit ribosomal RNA", at positions 30 to 523 of the family's 1533-position model. The record is from RNAcentral.